This 253-nucleotide ribosomal RNA is filed under the name uncultured bacterium. RNAcentral describes it as "partial 16S ribosomal RNA". It matches the Rfam family "Bacterial small subunit ribosomal RNA", at positions 524 to 776 of the family's 1533-position model. The record is from RNAcentral.
UACGUAGGGUGCAAGCGUUAAUCGGAACUACUGGGCGUAAAGCGCGCGUAGGCGGCUUUGCAAGUCAGAUGUGAAAUCCCCGGGCUUAACCUGGGAACUGCAUUUGUGACUGCAUGGCUAGAGUGCGGCAGAGGGGGAUGGAAUUCCGCGUGUAGCAGUGAAAUGCGUAGAUAUGCGGAGGAACACCGAUGGCGAAGGCAACCCCCUGGGCAUACACUGACGCUGAUGCACGAAAGCGUGGGGAGCGAACAGG